GGAGUUGCUAGUAAUCGCGAAUCAGCAACGUCGCGGUGAAUACGUUCCCGGGCCUUGUACACACCGCCCGUCACACCACGAAAGCGGGCAACACCCGAAGCCGGUGAUCCAACCCUCUGGGAGGAAGCCGUCGAAGGUGGGGCUCGUGAUUGGGGUGAAGUCGUAACAAGGUAGCCGUACCGGAAGGUGCGGCUGGAUCACCUCCUUUC
RNAcentral lists this ribosomal RNA (209 nucleotides) under uncultured bacterium. RNAcentral's name for it is "partial 16S ribosomal RNA". It matches the Rfam family "Bacterial small subunit ribosomal RNA", at positions 1328 to 1533 of the family's 1533-position model. The record is from RNAcentral.